Panicum virgatum (switchgrass) is the source of this 849-nucleotide long non-coding RNA. RefSeq lists it as uncharacterized. The record is from RefSeq and is a predicted model, not a curated record. NCBI's taxonomy places the organism in Eukaryota, Viridiplantae, Streptophyta, Magnoliopsida, Poales, Poaceae. The transcript is spliced from 2 exons.
UUGUGCCCACGUGUCGCCGCGCCGUUGCUCUCGACCGCCGCUCGAGCCGUGCUUAUCCCGUCCCGGUGUCCAAGUCCGUUUUCCCCUUCCCUUCGUUCUCCUCGAGCUCGGGCGGAGCCGAGUCGAGCAGUGCCGCCGCCGGCGUCGCACCGGCCAAACCCCGCCGCCCCCGCUAGAUUCUUCGCACCCCAAGCCGCUUCGCCUUGCCCCGCACCUAUUCCACCUCUUCCCGAGCUCGGCCGUGCCGUUUCCCGGCCGGAAUCGAGCCGCCAUCACCGGCCGCCAUUGAUGCUCCCGUCGAUCUCCGCCCCCGGCCGUCGAUCUCCUACUUCCGGUCCACCUCCGCCCGAUUCGAGAGCAUGGUACGAUAGAUGAACCACGUGAAGGAUGUGCUAUUGGAGCCGAACCCGAAGACGAUGUUGGUGGACGCACCCAGAAGAUGGAUGGAUGGACCCGAUGUGCAUUACCCAAAGGAAGAUGUCCGCCAAGCGAAUAUCAUCUAACCAACACUAACUAAUUCAGUGUUAAUCCCAGGCAAGCCCCGGAGCAUAACCAUAAUUUAAAUUAUUCAAUGUUUAUUUAAGUAUUUGUGCAUUUAAGUUUUAGGAGUUGUAUGAAACCCUAGUAUGCAUCUUCUCCCUAGGUACCCAUGAGUCCAUACUAGUGUGCAGGUAUCGUUAGCAAUGCUCUGCUAAGUUGGAUUUCGGUAGAAGUCGAGUGAUUGCUGUCACUCGCGAGUUUUAGGAUCUUGAUUCCUUAGCUAUGGCUGUGAAAUGAGUUGUUGAGUAAAGAGAAAUGGAGACCGGGCAGAAAUGAGUUGGAUUAAUGGUAUAGAAUGAUGAAAAGAAA